RNAcentral lists this ribosomal RNA (253 nucleotides) under uncultured bacterium. RNAcentral describes it as "partial 16S ribosomal RNA". It matches the Rfam family "Bacterial small subunit ribosomal RNA", at positions 524 to 776 of the family's 1533-position model. The record is from RNAcentral.
UACGUAGGGUGCGAGCGUUGUCCGGAAUUAUUGGGCGUAAAGAGCUUGUAGGCGGUCUGUCGCGUCUGCUGUGAAAAUCCGGGGCUCAACCCCGGACUUGCAGUGGGUACGGGCAGACUAGAGUGUGGUAGGGGAGACUGGAAUUCCUGGUGUAGCGGUGAAAUGCGCAGAUAUCAGGAGGAACACCGGUGGCGAAGGCAGGUCUCUGGGCCACUACUGACGCUGAGAAGCGAAAGCAUGGGGAGCGAACAGG